This 1229-nucleotide long non-coding RNA is filed under the name Homo sapiens (human). Its description in RNAcentral is "HSALNT0348297". Lineage: Eukaryota; Metazoa; Chordata; Mammalia; Primates; Hominidae. The record is from RNAcentral.
AACACUAGUAGGGGAGUGGGAAGUGAGAUAAGGAAGGGAAGAAUGACUGUAAAGAGUGUCUUUUCUGGCAGAUUACUUCUGUGAGCAACUGGGUCUCUCAGUUCUUUGGGAGCACCCUGGGAAACAGUGUGGCUAUGACUUGGAGCUGCUCACCAGUUCCAGUCAUUCUGUGGUUGAGAGCUGCUCCCUAUGGAUGUUAAUUCUUCUCUAUUUUAGAUUUUCCACAGGUGUGGGCCCCAUUAGCUCUGGCCACCUGAGAAAGCCCUCAGGCAAAGAGUCGCAGGUGAAAGCCAGCAGUUAGAGGUUCACAGAAAUGAGUGCAGAAGCAUCUUCAGUUGGAGAGCCAUUGCCUCUUGCUGUGAAAUAUUUGGGAAUCUUCAGAAACCAUGAAGAAUAACCUGCUAAAGCUGAGCUGGGACUCUGCCUGGAUAUAACUUAUGGCCUAUUCUAUAUGGAAAGUUGGUUUUCUCACAGUUCCACUCCCUUUCCAGAUAUCAGCAAAUGGCCCUCCUAGCCCAGAAGUCUCCAGAGAGGCCACCAAGUUCUAUUGAACAUCAUGAAUCCUAUGCUCAAGUGAGAUCAGCUCAAGUGAGACCAGAUAUCUGAAGACCUUUUCAUUUUCGCCACCCUCAAAUGAAGGCAUGCAAGUCCUGUUUGUCUCUGCCACUCCUCUAGCUGAUAUGUGCUCCAGAUUUGAAAAUUAAUUUAAGAAGCCAAAUUGUUUCCUGCUUUUCAAAGUUAUACAUAUCGUUACAUAUGUUUAUAUUUAUGUGUACACACAAAUGUAAAGCAAUGAUGCCUCUAUUAAAAUGAUGUUCAGUUAAUAUUGUCUGUGAGAACUGUAAAUUAUCUAUCCUUUAUUUCUACUUUGCACUAGAUACACCUAAGAGUUUGUGACACAUGCCUUGUAAGUACCUCUCAUUUCAUCUGACGGGUUUCUAGGGAGAAGUAAGCCACAGACACCAAAUGUUCCCAUCCUUAAGCUAAAAAGUUAGCAAGAAUGGGACAUUAAACAUAUGCUUAAAGGGAAAUGGUUACAGAAAAGAGGAAAAAUAUAAUAUUUUAAAAAGGGUGUGAGAUUGAAGACAAAUUUUACCUACUGUAUAUUUGUGUAUGAUGCACUUAGCUGAAUGCUAUGUUCACGUAAAAUACAUUUCAGUAGGAACUUCAUCUUCAUUACAGCUAGCUCAUACUUACAUAUGCCUAACAGUCUGUGAAGCACUUUCAAG